CGGACGGGUGAGUAAUGUCUGGGAAACUGCCUGAUGGAGGGGGAUAACUACUGGAAACGGUAGCUAAUACCGCAUAACGUCGCAAGACCAAAGAGGGGACCUUAGGGCCUCUUGCCAUCGGAUGUGCCCAGAUGGGAUUAGCUAGUAGGUGGGGUAAAGGCUCACCUAGGCGACGAUCCCUAGCUGGUCUGAGAGGAUGACCAGCCACACUGGAACUGAGACACGGUCCAG
RNAcentral lists this ribosomal RNA (231 nucleotides) under uncultured bacterium. RNAcentral's name for it is "partial 16S ribosomal RNA". It matches the Rfam family "Bacterial small subunit ribosomal RNA", at positions 99 to 334 of the family's 1533-position model. The record is from RNAcentral.